CGGGGAAUUUUGGACAAUGGGCGAAAGCCUGAUCCAGCAAUGCCGCGUGUGUGAAGAAGGCCUUCGGGUUGUAAAGCACUUUUGUCCGGAAAGAAAUCCUUGGCUCUAAUACAGUCGGGGGAUGACGGUACCGGAAGAAUAAGCACCGGCUAACUACGUGCCAGCAGCCGCGGUAAUACGUAGGGUGCAAGCGUUAAUCGGAAUUACUGGGCGUAAAGCGUGCGCAGGCGGUUUGCUAAGACCGAUGUGAAAUCCCCGGGCUCAACCUGGGAACUGCAUUGGUGACUGGCAGGCUAGAGUAUGGCAGAGGGGGGUAGAAUUCCACGUGUAGCAGUGAAAUGCGUAGAGAUGUGGAGGAAUACCGAUGGCGAAGGCAGCCCCCUGGGCCAAAUACUGACGCUCAUGCACGAAAGCGUGGGGAGCAAAACAGGAUUAGAUACCCUGGUAGUCCACGCCCUAAACGAUGUCAACUAGUUGUUGGGGAUUCAUUUCCUUAGUAACGUAGCUAACGCGUGAAGUUGACCGCCUGGGGAGUACGGUCGCAAGAUUAAAACUUAAAGGAAUUGACGGGGUCAUAGCUGUUUCCU
Molecule: ribosomal RNA, 587 nt
Filed under: uncultured bacterium
Lineage: Bacteria
Description: partial 16S ribosomal RNA
Rfam family: Bacterial small subunit ribosomal RNA
Source: RNAcentral